CCUUUGGAGUAUUAUAUCAAAUGUUAGUAGUUCUACGGAACAAGGACAGAUACAAUGAAAAAGGAA
This 66-nucleotide non-coding RNA is filed under the name unclassified sequences. RNAcentral describes it as "RAGATH-18 RNA". It matches the Rfam family "RAGATH-18 RNA". From Rfam's summary of the family: Actinobacteria, Firmicutes, Fusobacteria, Thermotogae (1 example). Nearby to self-cleaving ribozyme genes The record is from Rfam by way of RNAcentral.